Molecule: small nuclear RNA, 328 nt
Filed under: Castor canadensis (American beaver)
Lineage: Eukaryota; Metazoa; Chordata; Mammalia; Rodentia; Castoridae
Description: 7SK RNA (ENSCCNG00000007464.1)
Rfam family: 7SK RNA
About the family: 7SK was discovered as an abundant small nuclear RNA in the mid-70s but a possible function has only recently been suggested.
Source: Rfam by way of RNAcentral
GGAUGUGAGGGCGAUCUGGCUGCGACAUCUGUCACCCCAUUGAUCGCCAGGGUUGAUUCGGCUGAUCUGGCUGGCUAGGCGGGUGUCCCCUUCCUCCCUCACCGCUCCAUGUGCGUCCCUCCCGAAGCUGCGCGCUCGGUCGAAGAGGACGACCAUCCCCGAUAGAGGAGGACCGUUCUUCGGUCAAGGGUAUACGAGUAGCUGCGCUCCCCUGCUAGAACCUCCAAACAAGCUCUCAAGUAGAUGUCCUGGGGUUGAAGAACCACAUGGGAAGAAUACAUCUCUCUAAGGAAAUGGAUAGAUAUGUUAGAAAGUUGAUACUUUUGAG